Hippocampus zosterae (dwarf seahorse) is the source of this 434-nucleotide long non-coding RNA. RefSeq lists it as uncharacterized. NCBI's taxonomy places the organism in Eukaryota, Metazoa, Chordata, Actinopteri, Syngnathiformes, Syngnathidae. The transcript has 2 exons. The record is from RefSeq and is a predicted model, not a curated record.
CAGAGGACCUCAAAAAUCAUAAAGAAAUCAAACAAAAUCCAUCCAGGGAAACUCACGUUGAUGACUUUCGCUGACCCUUUCAGAGGGGUGGGGCUGCCAGUGACUGUCAGUAUAACGUGAAAAGAGCGGCAUCACAGUUAGUUUCAAUCACGGUUCGUUCCGUUCGCGAUCGGCAGUUUAAAUAGCGUGUAAAGCCUUUCUGUAACAGUGGUGUCCGUUUCUUGCUGGUUGUCCUUCUGUUAAGAAACAAUAUCUUGUAUCCUCAUUUCUGUAAUGAUGUGUUCUUUAUUUUGAACGGAUCUGGCAACCCAAGACACUACGCCAUAUCCGGUCUGUACUCGGCGCGAAAUAUUUUUUUUUCUUCCUUGGCGAUGAGAAGCGGCUGCUCUCUGUGCAGACGGCAAAUAAAACGUGCAACGUGUUUGAGUUAAACA